GAUGAAGAACGCAGCGAAAUGCGAUACGUAAUGUGAAUUGCAGAUUUCAGUGAAUCAUCGAAUCUUUGAACGCACAUUGCGCCCGCUAGUAUUCUGGCGGGCAUGCCUGUUCGAGCGUCAUUUCAACCAUCAAGCCCUAGGCUUGCGUUGGAGCCCUGCGGCUGCCGCAGGCCCCAAAUCCAGUGGCGGGCUCGUCGUCGUACCGAGUGCAGUAAACAUCCUCGCUCAGGGAACGUGACGGGUUCUUGCCGUGAAACCCCCCACAUAUCAAGGUUGACCUCGGAUCAGGUAGGAAUACCCGCUGAACUUAAGCAUAUCAAUAAGCGGAGGA
RNAcentral lists this unclassified non-coding RNA (331 nucleotides) under soil metagenome. Its description in RNAcentral is "partial contains 5.8S ribosomal RNA, internal transcribed spacer 2, and large subunit ribosomal RNA". The stretch from base 1 to 120 matches the Rfam family "5.8S ribosomal RNA", at positions 35 to 154 of the family's 154-position model. The record is from RNAcentral.